Molecule: ribosomal RNA, 467 nt
Filed under: uncultured bacterium
Lineage: Bacteria
Description: partial 16S ribosomal RNA
Rfam family: Bacterial small subunit ribosomal RNA
Source: RNAcentral
ACGAACGCUGGCGGCGUGCUUAACACAUGCAAGUCGAACGGAAAGGCCCUGCUUUUGUGGGGUGCUCGAGUGGCGAACGGGUGAGUAACACGUGAGUAACCUGCCCUUGACUUUGGGAUAACUUCAGGAAACUGGGGCUAAUACCGGAUAGGAGCUCCUGCUGCAUGGUGGGGGUUGGAAAGUUUCGGCGGUUGGGGAUGUACUCGCGGCUUAUCAGCUUGUUGGUGGGGUAGUGGCUUACCAAGGCUUUGACGGGUAGCCGGCCUGAGAGGGUGACCGGCCACAUUGGGACUGAGAUACGGCCCAGACUCCUACGGGAGGCAGCAGUGGGGAAUAUUGCACAAUGGGCGGAAGCCUGAUGCAGCAACGCCGCGUGCGGGAUGACGGCCUUCGGGUUGUAAACCGCUUUCGCCUGUGACGAAGCGUGAGUGACGGUAAUGGGUAAAGAAGCACCGGCUAACUACGUG